Molecule: long non-coding RNA, 577 nt
Organism: Anopheles merus
Lineage: Eukaryota; Metazoa; Arthropoda; Insecta; Diptera; Culicidae
Exons: 2
Source: RefSeq, a predicted model, not a curated record
UCAAUUCUCUCUUGCCACACGAAGAGAAUUCUCCUGCACACUUCGUGUGUUUGAUUCUACCCAUCCCUGUUGAACACAAGUCAUUUUCUUCCAUCGCUCUCAUCUGGGUGUUUGCUCUUUUCCAUCCAAGCCAAAGAGCGACUUCAGUGUGCUCUGAACCGUGGACAUGAGAGUGUGUGUUUGUGUGCUGCGUGAACUAUUUUUCCUGCGUAAAACACUUUCCCGUACUGCACCAUCCGCAGUGUUCUUUUUGCUUCAUCGGAGGACGAAUUUUUAUCAUCUAAUUGUUUCGAUGUGUGCUGCUACCGCUAGCUGUUCUCCAAAUCUCUUCAAAUUGCGACACUGUGUGCACAGGCGUUCAAGGUUCAAUUGAUCCUCAAGCACAAAGGCAAUUUUAUCACAUCUUUAAAUCAAGUGUAAUCUUUUUAACAAAGUGUGUCUAUUAAUUGUGUAUUUUCAUCAACAGCCUUCAUACAACAUCGCGGUUGAGGCGCGCCAAAUCUGAUGACAUCUUUCCUGAACCAAGCAGGCUGAACACGCGCACCACCACGGGCGCCAGCGCGGUGUGAAGAGGGAA